AAAAAAGAACCGCUUUUAGCGGAGUGAAAUAGUACCUGAAACCAUAAGCCUACAAUGUGUUGAAGCCACGUAAGUGGUGACAGCUUGCCUUUUGCAUAAUGAGUCUGCGAGUUAUUGUCAGUGGCCAGCCUAAGCUUCUUUGAGGCGGAGGCGAAGCGAAAGCGAGUGCGAAUAGCGCGUCUAGUCGCUGGCAAUAGACCCGAAGCGGAGGUGAUCUACUCUUGAGCAGGUUGAAGCUGCAGUAACAUGCAGUGAAGGACCGAACUCGUGAAUGUUGAAAAAUUCUGAGAUGACUUGAGAGUAGGAGCGAAAGACUAAUCAAACCCCGUGAUAGCUGGUUCUCUCCGAAAUCGCUUGGGGGCGAGUGUUGAGAAAGUACUCUGAGAGGUAGAGCACUGAAUGGCUUAGGGGCCCCACCAGGCUGCCAAAACCAAUCAAACUCCGAAUACUCAGAUCCCAUUAUCUCAGCAAUCAGACUGUGGGGGAUAAGCUUCAUGGUCGAGAGGGCAACAGCCCAGACCGCCAGCUAAGGUGCCUAAAUGUGAUUAAGUGGAAAGGAUGUGACGUUGCUUAGACAGUGAGGAUGUUGGCUUAGAGGCAGCCAUCAUUUAAACAGUGCGUAAUAGCUGACUCGUCGAGCGAUGUCGCGCCGAAAAUGAUUGGCGAUUAAAUUACAUACCGAAGCUGCGGAUUUGUGAGGUCUUUGGACCGCAUAAGUGGUAGGAGAGCGUAAUCGAUGCUGCGAAGCUGGACGGAAACGGAAAGUGGAGCGUCGAUUAGUGAGAAUGCAGACACGAGUAGCGAUAAACAAGGUGAGAAUCCUUGUCGCCGUAAACCCAAGGUUUCCUGGGCUAGGUUCGUCCUCCCAGGGUUAGCCGGGAGCUAAGAUGAGGCCGUAAGGCGUAAUCGAUGCACAGCAGGUUAAACAUUCCUGCGCCGGGUAAGAAUUAGUGAAAGAUUGACGCAACAAUACAUAUCAACACGCUCAUUGAAAGAGCAAGCCUAGGUCUUUGACCAAAGCAAGUUGGUGGGUUAAUUGCCUAGAAAAGAUUUUUCAUAUGUCUUACUCGCCCGUACCGUAAACCGACACAGGUGGGUGAGUGUAAAUGCACUAAGGCGCGCGAGAGAGACCUCUCUAAGGAACUCGGCACAUUAGCCUCGUAACUUCGGGAAAAGAGGUGCUCACUUCGGUGAGCCACAGUAAAUUGCGUUUAGCGACUGUUUAACAAAAACACAGCACUCUGCUAAGUCGUUAAGACGACGUAUAGGGUGUGACACGUGACCAAUGCGGAAAGAUUAAGGCAUUUUGUUAGCCGCAAGGCGAAGCUCGGUGCCAAAGUCCCCGUGAAUGUCGGCCGUAACUAUAACGGUCCUAAGGUAGCGAAAUUCCUUGUCGGGUAAGUUCCGACCUGCACGAAUCGUGUAACGACUGAACGACUGUCUCGGAGAGGAUCUCGGCGAAACUGUAACUGCGGUGAAGAUGCCGCAUGCCCGCAGUAGGACGGAAAGACCCUAUGCACCUUUACUGUAAGCUGGUAUUGUGUUCUGAUUAAUAAUGCGUAGCGUAGGUGGGAGGCUUCGAAGUGAGUGCUUCGGUGCUCAUGGAGCCGCAAUGUGAAACACCACUCUUUGCUAAUUAGGAUUCUAACCUCGAUUCCUGUCAACCAGGCGAGGGACAGUGCUUGCAGGUCAGUUUGACUGGGGCGGUUUCCUCCCAAUG
Molecule: ribosomal RNA, 1720 nt
Filed under: metagenome
Description: bacterial LSU rRNA
Rfam family: Bacterial large subunit ribosomal RNA
Source: RNAcentral